AUGAACGCUGGCGGCGUGCCUAAUACAUGCAAGUCGAGCGAACAGAUAAGGAGCUUGCUCCUUUGACGUUAGCGGCGGACGGGUGAGUAACACGUGGGUAACCUACCUAUAAGACUGGGAUAACUUCGGGAAACCGGAGCUAAUACCGGAUAACAUUUGGAACCGCAUGGUUCUAAAGUGAAAGAUGGUUUUGCUAUCACUUAUAGAUGGACCCGCGCCGUAUUAGCUAGUUGGUAAGGUAACGGCUUACCAAGGCAACGAUACGUAGCCGACCUGAGAGGGUGAUCGGCCACACUGGAACUGAGACACGGUCCAGACUCCUACGGGAGGCAGCAGUGGGGAAUCUUCCGCAAAGGGCGAAAGCCUGACGGAGCAACGCCGCGUGAGUGAUGAAGGGUUUCGGCUCGUAAAACUCUGUUAUUAGGGAAGAACAAAUGUGUAAGUAACUGUGCACGUCUUGACGGUACCUAAUCAGAAAGCCACGGCUAACUACGUG
RNAcentral lists this ribosomal RNA (496 nucleotides) under uncultured bacterium. RNAcentral describes it as "partial 16S ribosomal RNA". It matches the Rfam family "Bacterial small subunit ribosomal RNA", at positions 29 to 507 of the family's 1533-position model. The record is from RNAcentral.